Molecule: ribosomal RNA, 440 nt
Filed under: uncultured bacterium
Lineage: Bacteria
Description: partial 16S ribosomal RNA
Rfam family: Bacterial small subunit ribosomal RNA
Source: RNAcentral
CCUACGGGUGGCAGCAGUGGGGAAUAUUGCUCAAUGGGGGAAACCCUGAAGCAGCGACGCCGCGUGGAGGAUGAAGGUUUUCGGAUUGUAAACUCCUUUUGGUAGAGAAGAUAAUGACGGUAUCUAACGAAUACGCCCCGGCUAACUCCGUGCCAGCAGCCGCGGUAAUACGGAGGGGGCAAGCGUUACCCGGAAUCACUGGGCGUAAGGGGCGCGUAGGCGGGAUAGCAAGUCAGAUGUGAAAUCCUAGGGCUUAACCAGAGAACUGCAUUUGAAACUGUUAUUCUAGAGUAUGGGAGAGGUAGGUGGAAUUCUUGGUGUAGGGGUAAAAUCCGUAGAGAUCAAGAGGAACACUCAUUGCGAAGGCGACCUGCUAGAACAUAACUGACGCUGAGGCGCGAAAGCGUGGGGAGCAAACAGGAUUAGAUACCCUUGUAGUC